Molecule: ribosomal RNA, 395 nt
Filed under: uncultured bacterium
Lineage: Bacteria
Description: partial 16S ribosomal RNA
Rfam family: Bacterial small subunit ribosomal RNA
Source: RNAcentral
AUACGUAGGGUGCAAGCGUUAAUCGGAAUUACUGGGCGUAAAGCGUGCGCAGGCGGUUUUGUAAGACAGAGGUGAAAUCCCCGGGCUCAACCUGGGAACUGCCUUUGUGACUGCAAGGCUAGAGUGCGGCAGAGGGGGAUGGAAUUCCGCGUGUAGCAGUGAAAUGCGUAGAUAUGCGGAGGAAAACCGAUGGCGAAGGCAAUCCCCUGGGCCUGUACUGACGCUCAUGCACGAAAGCGUGGGGAGCAAACAGGAUUAGAUACCCUGGUAGUCCACGCCCUAAACGAUGUCAACUGGUUGUUGGGUCUUCAUUGACUCAGUAACGAAGCUAACGCGUGAAGUUGACCGCCUGGGGAGUACGGCCGCAAGGUUGAAACUCAAAUGAAUUGGCGGGG